Molecule: ribosomal RNA, 1339 nt
Filed under: Psychrobacter glacincola
Lineage: Bacteria; Pseudomonadati; Pseudomonadota; Gammaproteobacteria; Moraxellales; Moraxellaceae
Description: bacterial SSU rRNA
Rfam family: Bacterial small subunit ribosomal RNA
Source: RNAcentral
GUCGAGCGGUAACAUUUCUAGCUUGCUAGAAGAUGACGAGCGGCGGACGGGUGAGUAAUACUUAGGAAUCUACCUAGUAGUGGGGGAUAGCACGGGGAAACUCGUAUUAAUACCGCAUACGACCUACGGGAGAAAGGGGGCAGUUUACUGCUCUCGCUAUUAGAUGAGCCUAAGUCGGAUUAGCUAGAUGGUGGGGUAAAGGCCUACCAUGGCGACGAUCUGUAGCUGGUCUGAGAGGAUGAUCAGCCACACCGGGACUGAGACACGGCCCGGACUCCUACGGGAGGCAGCAGUGGGGAAUAUUGGACAAUGGGGGAAACCCUGAUCCAGCCAUGCCGCGUGUGUGAAGAAGGCCUUUUGGUUGUAAAGCACUUUAAGCAGUGAAGAAGACUCCUCGGUUAAUACCCGUGGACGAUGACAUUAGCUGCAGAAUAAGCACCGGCUAACUCUGUGCCAGCAGCCGCGGUAAUACAGAGGGUGCAAGCGUUAAUCGGAAUUACUGGGCGUAAAGGGAGCGUAGGUGGCUCGAUAAGUCAGAUGUGAAAUCCCCGGGCUCAACCUGGGAACUGCAUCUGAUACUGUUGAGCUAGAGUAUGUGAGAGGAAGGUAGAAUUCCAGGUGUAGCGGUGAAAUGCGUAGAGAUCUGGAGGAAUACCGAUGGCGAAGGCAGCCUUCUGGCAUAAUACUGACACUGAGGCUCGAAAGCGUGGGUAGCAAACAGGAUUAGAUACCCUGGUAGUCCACGCCGUAAACGAUGUCUACUAGUCGUUGGGUCCCUUGAGGACUUAGUGACGCAGCUAACGCAAUAAGUAGACCGCCUGGGGAGUACGGCCGCAAGGUUAAAACUCAAAUGAAUUGACGGGGGCCCGCACAAGCGGUGGAGCAUGUGGUUUAAUUCGAUGCAACGCGAAGAACCUUACCUGGUCUUGACAUAUCUAGAAUCCUGCAGAGAUGCGGGAGUGCCUUCGGGAAUUAGAAUACAGGUGCUGCAUGGCUGUCGUCAGCUCGUGUCGUGAGAUGUUGGGUUAAGUCCCGCAACGAGCGCAACCCUUGUCCUUAGUUACCAGCGGGUUAAGCCGGGAACUCUAAGGAUACUGCCAGUGACAAACUGGAGGAAGGCGGGGACGACGUCAAGUCAUCAUGGCCCUUACGACCAGGGCUACACACGUGCUACAAUGGUAGGUACAGAGGGCAGCUACACAGCGAUGUGAUGCGAAUCUCAAAAAGCCUAUCGUAGUCCAGAUUGGAGUCUGCAACUCGACUCCAUGAAGUAGGAAUCGCUAGUAAUCGCGGAUCAGAAUGCCGCGGUGAAUACGUUCCCGGGCCUUGUACACACCGC